GAACUGAUGUCUCUCNAAUGUCAUAACGACUCUCGGCAACGGAUAUCUCGGCUCUCGCAUCGAUGAAGAACGUAGCGAAAUGCGAUACUUGGUGUGAAUUGCAGAAUCCCGUGAACCAUCGAGUUUUUGAACGCAAGUUGCGCCCGAAGCCAUUCGGCCGAGGGCACGUCUGCCUGGGCGUCACGCAUCGCGUCG
RNAcentral lists this ribosomal RNA (195 nucleotides) under Pedicularis refracta var. transmorrisonensis. RNAcentral describes it as "5.8S rRNA". The stretch from base 28 to 183 matches the Rfam family "5.8S ribosomal RNA". Rfam says of the family: 5.8S ribosomal RNA (5.8S rRNA) is a component of the large subunit of the eukaryotic ribosome. It is transcribed by RNA polymerase I as part of the 45S precursor that also contains 18S and 28S rRNA. Lineage: Eukaryota; Viridiplantae; Streptophyta; Magnoliopsida; Lamiales; Orobanchaceae. The record is from RNAcentral.